UUUCCUACUAUACCUGAUAAGGAACCCUCAGAGGUAGAACGAGGAUGAAGUGGAGAAGUUUCCUCUCGAUGAAUCCCACCACAAGAGAUCCGAUUCCGGCCAGGAGAACCAGUAGAUCGAGUUGACUCAGGUGACAUCAGCUGGUUGCCCCUGGAUUGAGGAAAAACAUGUGAAUCCCUGGGCAUGCCACCAGACUCAGCAUGUACAAGAAGUGGUAAGGAUUGAUUGAAGCUGACUGACUUCACAGGAUCAGGCAGCUUCACAUU
RNAcentral lists this unclassified non-coding RNA (266 nucleotides) under Hevea brasiliensis (rubber tree). The record is from RNAcentral. Lineage: Eukaryota; Viridiplantae; Streptophyta; Magnoliopsida; Malpighiales; Euphorbiaceae.